AUUGAACGCUGGCGGCAGGCCUAACACAUGCAAGUCGAGCGAGCGGCGGACGGGUGAAUAAUGUCUGGGAAACUGCCUGAUGGAGGGAGAUAACUACUGGAAACGGUAGCUACUACCGCAUACCAUCAGAUGUGCCCAGAUGGGAUUAGCUCGUAGGUGGGGUAACGGCUAACCUAGGCGACGAUCCCUAGCUGGUCUGAGAGGAUGACCGGCCACACUGGAACGGAGACACGGUCCAGACUCCUACGGGAGGCAGCAGUGGGGAAUAUGUCACAAUGGGCGCAAGCCUGAUGCAGCCAUGCCGCGUGUAUGAAGAAGGCCGUCGGGUUGUAAAGUACUUUCAGCGGGGAGGCGUUACCCGCAGAAGAAGCACCGGCGAACUCCGUGCCAGCAGCCGCGGUAAUUC
Molecule: ribosomal RNA, 406 nt
Filed under: uncultured bacterium
Lineage: Bacteria
Description: partial 16S ribosomal RNA
Rfam family: Bacterial small subunit ribosomal RNA
Source: RNAcentral